UACGGGGGGGGCAAGCGUUGUUCGGAAUUACUGGGCGUAAAGGGCUCGUAGGCGGCCAACUAAGUCGGAUGUGAAAUCCCCAGGCUCAACCUGGGAACUGCAUCCGAUACUGGAUGGCUUGAAUUCGGGAGAGGGAUGCAGAAUUCCAGGUGUAGCGGUGAAAUGCGUAGAUAUCUGGAGGAAUACCGGUGGCGAAGGCGGGAUCCUGGACCGACAUUGACGCUGAGGAGCGAAAGCCAGGGGAGCAAACGGG
RNAcentral lists this ribosomal RNA (253 nucleotides) under uncultured bacterium. Its description in RNAcentral is "partial 16S ribosomal RNA". It matches the Rfam family "Bacterial small subunit ribosomal RNA", at positions 524 to 776 of the family's 1533-position model. The record is from RNAcentral.